CGCCCGCCCGCCAGCGCGCGCCGCCCCCGCCCGCCAUGGCCCGGGACUACGACCACCUCUUCAAGCUGCUCAUCAUCGGCGACAGCGGUGUGGGCAAGAGCAGCUUGCUGUUACGAUUUGCAGACAACACCUUCUCAGGCAGCUACAUCACCACAAUCGGAGUGGAUUUCAAGAUCCGGACUGUGGAGAUCAAUGGGGAGAAGGUGAAGCUGCAGAUCUGGGACACAGCGGGGCAAGAGCGCUUUCGUACCAUCACCUCCACGUACUAUCGGGGGACCCAUGGGGUCAUUGUGGUUUACGACGUCACUAGUGCCGAGUCCUUUGUUAAUGUCAAACGAUGGCUUCAUGAAAUCAACCAGAACUGUGACGAUGUGUGCCGAAUAUUAGUGGGUAAUAAGAAUGACGAUCCUGAGCGGAAGGUGGUAGAGACAGAAGACGCCUACAAAUUUGCUGGGCAGAUGGGGAUCCAGCUCUUUGAGACCAGUGCCAAGGAGAAUGUCAACGUGGAAGAGAUGUUCAACUGCAUCACGGAGCUGGUUCUACGAGCAAAGAAAGACAACUUGGCAAAACAGCAGCAGCAACAACAGAACGAUGUGGUGAAGCUCACGAAAAACAGUAAACGAAAGAAACGCUGCUGCUAAUGCCCCAGUCCACCGCAGAGACUGCACUGCACCCUCCCCAGCCCGAGGCCUCGGAGGCUCCUCGGGGACAGUCUCAGUUUAGUGCCGUUAUUUAAAGAAUUCUCUCCACGUUUUUUGUACCGGGAGGCGCCAUCGGCACUUCCUCCCCUUUCCCCUCGAGUGCCAAGAAGGUGUUGGACAAGCCUGCCCUUCCCACUGGUGCCCAUCUCCCUGCUGAGGCGCCUGGACCUGUCGAGGACGCUGCCAGCUGAGCGGACUGAUUAACCAGUUUGUACAUAGUGUAUAUUGCAUUAACCAGCUGCACACCCUCAGCCUGCUCUGGCUUUUGCCUCCUUCCUGCCAACCUGCUGCAACAGACCCUCCCAAGCCCUCCUGUCCCAUCUCGACGGCAGCUUCCCGAGGAGCCAGCCUCAUGUCCUAGCUGAGUCUUUGGCCAACCUGGGCCCGUGGAGUGCACUCUACAUGGUUCCUGCCCUACAGCUGCUCUGGGAGCUGGGGAACCUGGCUCCACACAGGCCCCGCCCUCGGCUGGCCCUAGGCCUUCAGUUCCACAGAGGAAGUCAGUCUUGCCCAUUUGGCCAACAGGUUUCUCAUUCUGCCUUCUAGAUGCCUCUGCUACAAACCAGGGGAGCUGUGGCUUCUCACUUACCCAACAUGUUUCAGUUCCAGCAGAAAGGACACUUGGUUCCCUCUCCCCUAAAGGAUCACGUAACUGGGAAGAACUGAUUUGGACACCAUGAUGUGUGUUUUAGAUUUCCUUUCCUAGGCGAUUUCCAGGCAGUCCUGACCGGACAAUCAUCACAGAUUACUGCAGAUUUUCCAUGUUAACACUGUGGACGGGUUUUUAAUCAAUAAAACUGGGGCUUUCUUCUCACCUGUCUCUCCACUUGUCCAGAUUGUCAAAAGCUGGGGUUCUGUGCGACAGGCCUGUGUUUCUGAGCUCCAGGCUGGGUUUGGGGGCUGUGGGCCUAGGAAGGUAGGUGCCGCGGAGGACACUUCAGGGCCAAGUAGUAGGCGGCUCCGUAUGAUCCAGGUGAGCUGGGAGUUGAGGCAGAUUCUGUUUUCAGGACUGUCUUGGCUGAUGGGGCAGAAGGGGUCACACAUGCUUCUGAGCAUGUGGGAACCAGUGUGGAGGUGUUUGCCAAUUCAAGCAAUAAGAGGGUGAUCUUGGAGCAUCCAGCCCAAGUUAGGUGCCUCUGUGGUUUCUGGCACGUGCCUGUUAAGGCCCAGGUGAUGGGUGACUUGGUGACAACAGCGUGCCUGUCCCGCAGAGUGUCACAUGCAUGAGUGGGGUGGGGUAGGGUGAGGGUGGGGGUGGGGGACUCAGGGCUCAACUGGUGUCCUGGUGGACCUGAUGUGAAACUCCUGUCAACCAACAAACUUUUAAAUGGUUUGCUAGGAUUAUUUCUGUAUUGAAAGUUUCUAAUUAUGCUUUUUAAAAAAAAUACUAAAAAUAAAGGUUCAAGCUGCCAAAUUUC
This is an RNA transcript of Peromyscus eremicus (cactus mouse), 2119 nucleotides long. It is a transcript of the gene named RAB35, member RAS oncogene family, with no coding region annotated. The transcript is spliced from 7 exons. The record is from RefSeq and is a predicted model, not a curated record. NCBI's taxonomy places the organism in Eukaryota, Metazoa, Chordata, Mammalia, Rodentia, Cricetidae.